GCUUACCCGAUUGGCGGGGGAACACAAGAACUUCCGCCGCCCUUGCGUUCGCCCUACCUUGAGUCGUUCUACAAUUCUCUGGCUAGCCUUUUACAUACAACUAAUGGGCUGCCGGAAAUACUGCAGAACUAGGGAGUGGGAGAGGUAGACGGUACUCGGGAGGAAGGGGUAAAAUCCUUUGAUCUCUUGAUGACCACCUGUGGCGAAGGCGGUCUACCAGAACACGUUCGACGGUGAGGGAUGAAAGCUGGGGGAGCAAACCGGAUUAGAUACCCGGGUAGUCCCAGCUGUAAACGAUGCAGACUCGGUGAUGCACUGGCUUUUGGCCAGUGCAGUGCCGCAGGGAAGCCGUUAAGUUUGCCGCCUGGGAAGUACGUACGCAAGUAUGAAACUUAAAGGGGUUGGGGGGGGAGCACAAAA
Molecule: ribosomal RNA, 420 nt
Filed under: uncultured archaeon
Lineage: Archaea
Description: bacterial SSU rRNA
Rfam family: Archaeal small subunit ribosomal RNA
Source: RNAcentral